RNAcentral lists this ribosomal RNA (739 nucleotides) under Trichaptum abietinum. RNAcentral's name for it is "Hirschioporus abietinus partial large subunit ribosomal RNA". It matches the Rfam family "Eukaryotic large subunit ribosomal RNA", at positions 140 to 864 of the family's 3401-position model. The record is from RNAcentral. Lineage: Eukaryota; Fungi; Basidiomycota; Agaricomycetes; Hymenochaetales; Trichaptaceae.
GAGUUGUAAUCUGGAGAAGCGUUUUCCGUGUCGGACCGUGCACAAGUCUCUUGGAACAGAGCGUCAUAGAGGGUGAGAAUCCCGUUUUAUGGCACGGACACCCGAUACUUUGUGAUACGUUUUCUAAGAGUCGAGUUGUUUGGGAAUGCAGCUCAAAAUGGGUGGUAAAUUCCAUCUAAAGCUAAAUAUAGGCGAGAGACCGAUAGCGAACAAGUACCGUGAGGGAAAGAUGAAAAGCACUUUGGAAAGAGAGUUAAACAGUACGUGAAAUUGUUGAAAGGGAAACGCUUGAAGUCAGUCGCGUCUUCUAGGACUCAGCCUUACUUCGGUUAGGUGUACUUCCUGGUUUGACGGGUCAACAUCGAUUUUGAUCGACGGAUAAAGGAGAAGGGAAUGUGGCACCUUCGGGUGUGUUAUAGCCCUCUUCGUAUACGUCGAUUGGGAUCGAGGACUGCAGCACGCCCUUGUGGCCGGGGGUUCGCCCUACGUAUCGUGCUUAGGAUGUUGACAUAAUGGCUUUAAGCGACCCGUCUUGAAACACGGACCAAGGAGUCUAACAUGCUCGCGAGUGUUAGGGUGGAAAACCCUUGCGCGUAAUGAAAGUGAAAGUUGGGACCUCUGCAAGGAGGGCACCGACGCCCGGCCCUGAAGUUCUCUGACGGUGCUGCGGUAGAGCGCGUAUGUUGGGACCCGAAAGAUGGUGAACUAUGCCUGAAUAGGGCGAAGCCAGAGGAAACUC